RNAcentral lists this ribosomal RNA (642 nucleotides) under uncultured bacterium. RNAcentral describes it as "bacterial SSU rRNA". The stretch from base 1 to 543 matches the Rfam family "Bacterial small subunit ribosomal RNA", at positions 338 to 873 of the family's 1533-position model. The record is from RNAcentral.
CCUACGGGAGGCAGCAGUGAGGAAUAUUGGACAAUGGGCGCAAGCCUGAUCCAGCCAUGCCGCGUGCAGGAUGACGGUCCUAUGGAUUGUAAACUGCUUUUGUACAGGAAGAAACACCUCUACGUGUAGAGACUUGACGGUACUGUAAGAAUAAGGAUCGGCUAACUCCGUGCCAGCAGCCGCGGUAAUACGGAGGAUCCAAGCGUUAUCCGGAAUCAUUGGGUUUAAAGGGUCCGUAGGCGGUUUAGUAAGUCAGUGGUGAAAGCCCAUCGCUCAACGGUGGAACGGCCAUUGAUACUGCUAAACUUGAAUUAUUAGGAAGUAACUAGAAUAUGUAGUGUAGCGGUGAAAUGCUUAGAGAUUACAUGGAAUACCAAUUGCGAAGGCAGGUUACUACUAAUGGAUUGACGCUGAUGGACGAAAGCGUGGGUAGCGAACAGGAUUAGAUACCCUGGUAGUCCACGCCGUAAACGAUGGAUACUAGCUGUUGGGUAGGNGAUACUCUAGUGGUCGUAGACGAAGUAGAGUAAGUAAGUACCGACCGUCGGGUAAGGUACGGUUCGUUCGAAGUAAGUUAGUUAAACGUAACGAAGAGUUAGUAGGACGGNGAGAGAGCGACGACGACGACGACGGAGGAGGAGG